CAGCCGCCGCGGUAAUACGAAGGGUGCAAGCGUUACUCGGAAUUACUGGGCGUAAAGCGUGCGUAGGUGGUGGUUUAAGUCCGUUGUGAAAGCCCUGGGCUCAACCUGGGAAUUGCAGUGGAUACUGGGUCACUAGAGUGUGGUAGAGGAUAGUGGAAUUUCCGGUGUAGCAGUGAAAUGCGUAGAGAUCGGAAGGAACAUCAGUGGCGAAGGCGGCCAUCUGGGACAACACUGACGCUGAGGCACGAAAGCGUGGGGAGCAAACAGGAUUAGAUACCCCCGUAGUCCCUGUCUCUUAUAA
This 301-nucleotide ribosomal RNA is filed under the name uncultured bacterium. Its description in RNAcentral is "partial 16S ribosomal RNA". It matches the Rfam family "Bacterial small subunit ribosomal RNA", at positions 509 to 809 of the family's 1533-position model. The record is from RNAcentral.